CAAUAGCGUAUAUUUAAGUUGCUGCAGUUAAAAAGCUCGUAGUUGGAUUUCGGGUGGGAAUGGCCGGUCCGCCGUUUCGGUGUGCACUUGCUACGCCCACCUUGCUGCCGGGGACGUGCUCUUGAGUUCACGCUCGGGACACGGAGUCGGCGAGGUUACUUUGAGUAAAUUAGAGUGUUCAAAGCAGGCCUACGCUCUGAAUACAUUAGCAUGGAAUAACACGAUAGGACUCUGGCCUAUCUUGUUGGUCUGUAGGACCGGAGUAAUGAUUAAGAGGGACAGUCGGGGGCAUUCGUAUUACAUUGUCAGAGGUGAAAUUCUUGGAUUUAUGAAAGACGAACUACUGCGAAAGCAUUUGCCAAGGAUGUUUUCAUUAA
This 377-nucleotide ribosomal RNA is filed under the name uncultured eukaryote. RNAcentral's name for it is "partial 18S ribosomal RNA". It matches the Rfam family "Eukaryotic small subunit ribosomal RNA", at positions 592 to 976 of the family's 1831-position model. The record is from RNAcentral.